UUGCUCUCUCGCCCACACCCACUCCCACGCCCAUCAGUCUUAAAGUUUUGCGCCCGCCUCCUCGACAGCCUUCAUUGUAUUCAAAACGGAGCGAAGAUGACAGACAUCGACGUCAAGACGUACAGCGACGACGCCUCGCUCGGGAAGGAGGCGCCGACGAUCGAGUCGGCACACCCCAUCAAGGGCGAAAAAAUCACAAUCACGGAGGACAAGAUCUACGUGCUGUACUUCUUCAAUACUUUCUACCGCGGCGCUGAUGUUUGCAACGACGAGUUCACGACGCUGUCGGAGGAGAUGGCGGGCAAGGCCGUUUUUGUCGCCAUCAGCACGGACGCCGACAUCGCCAAGACCGAGAAGUACCUGGGGAAGGAGAUCAUUGAUGAGAACACGAAGAAGCGCCUGCGCCUGGAUCCGUCCCACAUCUGUUACGACGAGGGCAAGGCGGUCAGCAAGAGCUACGCGGAGGUAUCGAAUCUCUCCGUGAUGUCGUGCCCCAUGGCCUUCGUUGUCAAGGAUGGCAAGGUCGCGUGGCGCCAGCAGUUCCUGCAGACUCACACCGUCAACCAGUCCAACUUCCGCGAGCAGCUCUCCCGCGUGCUGGCUGGUGAGGAGCUCGAGUCUAACGGCCCUCGCCCGAAGGUGGAGAUGGAAGAAGAAGAGGCAGAGGGCAUGGAUGGCGAUAUGUCGCUGUUCUAAGAAGGAAAAGUCGCACAUGUCCACCAGCGCUCCCUUCACCGCACCGUAAGAUGGGUUAGAGGUUGUGUAUGUGUGUAUGAGUGUGUGUGUGUAGCACGAGACAUAUCGGGCUGCCGGGGAGGGGGGCGGUUGAUGUCAUGGCAGAAGGAGCAUCUUCGCUCUAACUUCCAGGUGCUCAGCAUCAACACACGUCUGCGACUUCCUCUGCUCCUCCCCCCACACACACACACAUACGCAUGCACGCACACGCACGCGCACACACUGCCCUCCCCUCUGUCUGGGCAUGUGCGUGUGCGCCUUCCUGUGCCGAAGCAAUUAUGUUUAAGACGUGAAAAAGGGUAAGCAGCGAACCCGCAACCAACCCCCGAAAGCCAGGCGAAGAGGAUCUAACAAGAGGUGUGCUCAGCGGGAGAAGGAGGGGGGCCAAAGUGGUACAGCGUGGGGGUGCGUGUCUGUGGGAUGGUGAGGACUGUGUACGCGGCUCUCCAAGCGGCGAACCAAGCGCUCGCUCCCUCCUUCCCUCCCGCCCUCGUUUUCCUCAGCAAAAACAUGCGCGGACACCAAUGGAGCCCACGUGUUUGGUGCGGGGCGGGGGCGUUCCUCGAUCGCACGGCAUGCUCACACGCACGUGCUGGGCCCCCUCUCUCGAGCGCCGUCAUCCCACGAUGGGAUCGCUGGUCCUCCUCAUCCUUGCUCGCUUGUUUAACUCUGUCUUCGGCUGUUUUGUUUUUGUGUUUGUUUCCCGCAUGCGCCUGCGUCUGUGCGUGCGUUCUCACGGUUAUGUGGCGGGAUGGGCAACCCUCCCUGCACGCGCCACACUUUAAGACGAGGGCCGACAUGAGACGCUGACAACUCUGGAAGACGCCAAGGGUUCGCCG
RNAcentral lists this unclassified non-coding RNA (1574 nucleotides) under Leishmania donovani. RNAcentral describes it as "gene:LdHU3.14.0250(CDS-product:Thioredoxin-like_p utative)". Lineage: Eukaryota; Euglenozoa; Kinetoplastea; Trypanosomatida; Trypanosomatidae. The record is from RNAcentral.